Molecule: ribosomal RNA, 579 nt
Filed under: Alexandrium cf. catenella
Lineage: Eukaryota; Dinophyceae; Gonyaulacales; Pyrocystaceae
Description: LSU rRNA
Rfam family: Eukaryotic large subunit ribosomal RNA
Source: RNAcentral
UAAGUGGUGGAAAUUAAACCAACUGGGAUCUCUUCAGUAAUUGCGCAUGAACCAGGAUAUGCUUAGCUUGACARAUGGAGCUGCUGGCUCUGAAUUGUAUUGUGGGAAUGUAUUACCAACAGAGGUGCAGGUCACACUCCUUGGCAUUGGAAUGCAAAGUGGGUGGUAAGUUUCAUGYAAAGGUAAAUAUGCAAUUGAGACUGAUAGCGCACAAGUACCAUGAGGGACAUAUGAAAAGGACUUUGAAAAGAGAAUUAAAUGAGUUUGUAUUUGCUAAACACAAAGUAAACAGACUUGAUUUCCUCAGUGAGAUUGUAGUGCUUUGCUUAACAAUGGGUUUUGGCUGCAAGUGCAAUAAUUCUUGCUUUGUGUGCCCGUUUUUAUGUGGACAUUUGAUUACCUUUGCACAUGAAUGGUAAUUUUCCUGCGGGGUGUGGAUUGCAUAUGCAUGUAAUGAUUUGCAUGUUUGUUAAAUGUGUCUGGWGUAUUUGUUUGUGUCCUUGUCCUUGAGGUUGCUUUCUCCCUUGGGCUUACAUGCCCUGGCACACACAUUCUGGCAAAAUGCUUCUGCUUGACCCG